GGUUUUGACCCACUAUCUCAAGGUACUGCUGGCGUCCGACCUACCACUACUGGUUGUGUCGAAAAUCUGAAUUUUUGGAUCGCCUUCUCGGGGUAUCCGGGAGGGCAAU
This is a non-coding RNA of Ancylostoma duodenale, 109 nucleotides long. The record is from Rfam. Lineage: Eukaryota; Metazoa; Nematoda; Chromadorea; Rhabditida; Ancylostomatidae.